This 800-nucleotide ribosomal RNA is filed under the name uncultured bacterium. RNAcentral describes it as "bacterial SSU rRNA". It matches the Rfam family "Bacterial small subunit ribosomal RNA", at positions 8 to 823 of the family's 1533-position model. The record is from RNAcentral.
AGAGUUUGAUCCUGGCUCAGGACGAACGCUGGCGGCGUGCCUAACACAUGCAAGUCGAGCGGAGAUAAUAGCAAUAUUAUCUUAGCGGCGGACGGGUGAGUAACGCGUGGGCAACUUGCCUCAAACAGGGGGAUAACACUGGGAAACUAGUGCUAAUACCGCAUAAAAUAGGGGGAUGGCAUCAUUCUACUAUCAAAGGAGAAAUCCGGUUUGAGAUGGGCCCGCGUCCGAUUAGCUAGUUGGUGAGGUAAUGGCUCACCAAGGCGACGAUCGGUAGCCGAACUGAGAGGUUGAUCGGCCACAUUGGGACUGAGACACGGCCCAGACUCCUACGGGAGGCAGCAGUGGGGAAUAUUGCGCAAUGGGGGAAACCCUGACGCAGCAACGCCGCGUGAAGGAAGAAGGCUUUCGGGUUGUAAACUUCUUUGAUUGGGGACGAAAAAAAUGACGGUACCCAAAAAACAAGCCACGGCUAACUACGUGCCAGCAGCCGCGGUAAUACGUAGGUGGCGAGCGUUGUCCGGAUUUACUGGGUGUAAAGGGCGUGUAGGCGGGAUUGUAAGUCAGAUGUGAAAUUCCUAGGCUUAACCUGGGCACUGCAUCUGAAACUAUGAUUCUUGAGUGCUGGAGAGGAAAGCGGAAUUCCUAGUGUAGCGGUGAAAUGCGUAGAUAUUAGGAGGAACACCAGUGGCGAAGGCGACUUUCUGGACAGUAACUGACGCUGAGGCGCGAAAGCGUGGGGGAGCAAACAGGAUUAGAUACCCUGGUAGUCCACGCUGUAAACGAUGGAUACUAGGUGU